CCUUUAAAUACGUCACGGUAAUAUUAUGUUAUAUUGAUAAUACGUCCGUCAAAUUAUUAUAUUUUAGAUUAUAUUGCUUACAAAUAAGUACUGGUUGAACCGUGGCGCCCAGAAACGACCAGAGAUUAUCGAUGAUAAUCGUUGUUGGAAUUAUUUAUCCAGUAUCAUCGAGGAAACCGCGAACAACUCAACUCUUUCAUUAGCACCGGAAAAAAUCGUAAAAUCAAUUUGAAAAAGUAAACGAAAAGAACUCCACUGGAAAGAUGGGGAAUAUUUAAUCACUGAAUAUGAUAUUUUCUAUACAGUAACAAUUUUGUGGUAACAAAGUGGUAACUAUUAAGGACCAAAACACCCAAUUGACGCUUUAUAUAAAUGUAUAAUUCGCUCAAUCGCGUUAUGUACAUGGAAAUGUGGGUGACAACAAAAACAGAUGGGCAAUGUUUUUGAUCGAAAAAUAAUUCUCAGACAGGUAUUUGAUCCCAAUAGAGACCGGUUUACGAACUAUAACGAAAAACCGUAUGCCCAAAGACGCCGCGAUACAUUUACAACAAUGAAAAUCAAGAGAAUAAGCUGGGGUUGAUCGGAUGUGUGGCGAGCACAAGAACAACUCUAAUCGGGGAAGUCACAAAAAAGGGUCACUAGAAAGCAAAAGUAACUCUAUAGGCCUUCAAAGGCAGCGGUGGGCAGAUAGUUAGUUCAGAAAUACAUGAAUAUGUACGUAACUACAGGGAGUGAACGAUG
Non-coding RNA from Cinara cedri, 741 nucleotides. NCBI's taxonomy places the organism in Eukaryota, Metazoa, Arthropoda, Insecta, Hemiptera, Aphididae. The record is from the annotation of a GenBank genome assembly.